RNAcentral lists this ribosomal RNA (216 nucleotides) under uncultured bacterium. RNAcentral describes it as "partial 16S ribosomal RNA". It matches the Rfam family "Bacterial small subunit ribosomal RNA", at positions 125 to 334 of the family's 1533-position model. The record is from RNAcentral.
CCGUACCCAUCAGAGGGGGAUAACACUUGGAAACAGGUGCUAAUACCGCAUAACAGUUUAUGCCGCAUGGCAUAAGAGUGAAAGGCGCUUUCGGGUGUCGCUGAUGGAUGGACCCGCGGUGCAUUAGCUAGUUGGUGAGGUAACGGCUCACCAAGCCACGAUGCAUAGCCGACCUGAGAGGGUGAUCGGCCACACUGGGACUGAGACACGGCCCAG